UGCAAGGGGCCCUUCAGAAGUCGCUGGGUUCAGAAGGCUCUUAGUCGUGCUUGAGAGUGAGCCUUUCGAAGAGAUACUCGCC
Chlorocebus sabaeus (green monkey) is the source of this 82-nucleotide microRNA precursor. Lineage: Eukaryota; Metazoa; Chordata; Mammalia; Primates; Cercopithecidae. The record is from Ensembl.